GAUGAACGCUAGCGAUAGGCCUAACACAUGCAAGUCGAGGGGCAUCACAUGAAGUAGCAAUACGGAUGGUGGCGACCGGCGCACGGGUGAGUAACACGUAUGCAACCUGCCUUCAACAAGGGGAUAACCCGUUGAAAGACGGACUAAUACCCUAUAACACAGGGGUCCCGCAUGGGGAUAUUUGUUAAAGGACAACCGGUUGAAGAUGGGCAUGCGUUCCAUUAGCUAGUUGGCGGGGUAACGGCCCACCAAGGCAACGAUGGAUAGGGGAACUGAGAGGUUUAUCCCCCACACUGGUACUGAGGACACGGACCAGACUCCUACGGGAGGCAGCAGUGAGGAAUAUUGGUCAAUGGACGCAAGUCUGAACCAGCCACGUCGCGUGAAGGAAGACGGCCCUACGGGUUGUAAACUUCUUUUAUACGGGGAAUAAAGUGCCCCACGCGUGGGGUUUUGCAUGUACCGUAUGAA
Molecule: ribosomal RNA, 471 nt
Filed under: uncultured bacterium
Lineage: Bacteria
Description: bacterial SSU rRNA
Rfam family: Bacterial small subunit ribosomal RNA
Source: RNAcentral